AGUAACGCGUGGGUAACCUGCCUCAUACAGGGGGAUAACAGUUAGAAAUGACUGCUAAUACCGCAUAAGCGCACAGUGCUGCAUGGCACAGUGUGAAAAACUCCGGUGGUAUGAGAUGGACCCGCGUCUGAUUAGCUAGUUGGUGGGGUAACGGCCUACCAAGGCGACGAUCUGUAGCCGGCCUGAGAGGGUGAACGGCCACAUUGGGACUGAGACACGGCCCAA
RNAcentral lists this ribosomal RNA (225 nucleotides) under uncultured bacterium. RNAcentral describes it as "partial 16S ribosomal RNA". It matches the Rfam family "Bacterial small subunit ribosomal RNA", at positions 109 to 334 of the family's 1533-position model. The record is from RNAcentral.